UGAGAUAGGCAAGCUGGAGGGCUUUGUCUGAGAGUUUAAACCACACAGCAGCUUGUUCAUGUCAACAGGAUGGCAGAUGAGUCUAGACCAUGCAAAUGCCAGGAGAAGAGCCAAAAGGCAAAAUAUCUCCGUGCCAUCUCACACACCGAGAGCCCCCCAGAAGCCUCUGGGUUUCAUUUCCUCCAUCAGGAGCUCAGAUAACAGCAGCAGAGACAAUCACACACGAGUUAAGAAUGCAAAUACAGUUCUCAUUCCUUCUUAUGCUUUCUGUGCUGCUGGGGAUUGAACUCGGGACAUGUAAUAUCCCACACAGAUACUCUCUACUACUGAAUUACAUCUUCAGCCUGACAUUUUAAGGAAAAACACAGAGAAAAAUGGUAUCCUAUUGAAUAAAUCCUGGCUCUUCAAAACAAACUCAUUUUGAAGUAAAGGGUGUGGCUUAGUUAGUGGAGCGCUUUCUAGCAUGCACGAAGUCCUGGGCUCCAUCUCCAACGCUUCGUAAAUCUGGCAUGGUGGUACAUGCCUGUGAUCCCAGCAUUUUGGAGGUGGAGGCAGGAGGCUCAGAAGCUCCAGGCCAUCCUUGGUUACACUGAGUUUGAGGUUAGCCUUGGCUAUGUGGGAUUCUGUCUGAACUCUGCCCCUCCUAUCCCCACAUGGUUUUUAUCACUCAAAAAUUUCUCAGCUCUCUCUUUGGGGACUGUCCCAUGAGUGCAGCGACUCUAGCUUGUAGAUUUGGUCAGCGUUGUCAAGUCUGGGCCUUUUAAAAUGGAUUGUGAAUUUUUCCCAAAGCCAUUUAAAAAAAAUUCUAUUUGGAAACUGGGCAAUGACUUUGGGAGAGCUUUGAGUGAAAAUAAAAUUUGAAUGGAGAGGCCAGAGGCUGUUAGUCCCACAGAGUGAAGAAAGAAAAGGGCCUUGGAGAUCUUGAGGCUAGGUUCGGCCAUGAGAUCUUCUGUUGCCUGGGCUCUCUCUGGCUUGGCAGGGUGCUUGUCUAUACUCGUGUGUAUAUGUUUGCAGAGAAUACUAACCUUUUACAUACUAAUGGAUGAGGCUGGGAGAGAUGGUUCAGUGAAUAAGAGUGCCUGUUAUACAGCAUGAAGAUCUUUGGUGGAAUCUCCCGCAUCAUGUAAAAAGCUGAGUGGCCUGUAUAUAUGCUAACCACCCCGCAUGGUGGAAAACAGAGACAAGGAGCUUUCUGACACAGUCUAGCUCCAGGUUCAGUGAGAGGCCUGUUCUGAAGGACAUAAAGUAGAGAGUGACAAAGUAGGGCAACUAUGCCCUCUUCUAGCUUCUUCACGCACACGCGCACACACACACACACACACACACACACACACACACACACACACACACACACACUAGGACUGGAGUAUUUACCCAUUUGAAGUCACUGGAUGAGAAAGAAAGAUAUUGCACCAGACUCUGUCUGUUCUGGAGGAGAUCCCAGGGCCCAUCUCUUCGUUAUCCCUAGUAUUAGCAUAACCAGAGCCUACACAGGAAACAGCCGUGCCCCAGCCUGUCCACAUUUUCAUAAUGAGGUGGGCAAGGUCCUGAGGGCAAAAGGUCGACUUCUGGGCAGAAGGAAGAUGGAUCUGUCCUCCUUGGGACUCAGCUGCCUGCGUCACCUGAAGCAGACAGACCUGGACUUUGUUACAGAUAGGCUCUCAUGUAGCCUAGGCUGGCCUGGAACUCACUAGGGAGCCAAGGGUGAUGUUGAACUUCUGAGCUCUCUGCCUCUACCUUGUGAGCUCUGGGAUUACAAGUGUGCACCACCACAGCACAUUCAAUGCAGUGCCGGGGAUGGACCUCACAGGUUUGGCCACGUUCAGCCAUCUCUUUACUGACAGAGCUACAUCCUCAGCCUCUACGAUGAGAUCCUUUUUCAUAAUUACUUUUUAUAACCCAGGUGCACAGUUUUUAAGUGUGAACUGUUCAGUAACAAGUCCUGCCAUACAGUUGGGUAUAUCUGCAGUUUAGGAUAUCUUGUGUUGUUGGAAAAGAACUUUCCUUUUUGAAUGUGAAGAAAUUGGCUGAACUGCCAAUUAUAAUUUAGUUGGAUGCUUGACUCGAACAUUCCCCUGACUGUUGACUUCCUGCCAUAAUGCGUAAGCCUGGGCCCAUCAUUUAUCGUCUGUCUACGUCAAGGUCUAGAUCAGACAUUUUAUCCAUUGCUUCACCACCCACCCCCAUGGCUCUGCUGUGAAGACACCCAUGCUCAGCAAAUCCCUUGCAGGUUUGAAUAAUGAAUUAAACUCGCAUUAUCCAGAUUCCCUUGCUCUCGACUUCCUCUGCUGGCUGGACUGAAGCUAUUAUCCCAUUGUCCAAAGACUGAGCAGCCUCACCCAGUGCAUUGUGCGAUCCUGAGAUUUAGAUACAGUCCAUGGACAGAAUUUUCGAGGGUACAAUUUCAAGAGAUCUGGCUCCCUAUUCCAGACCACAGACCACCAGUCACAGAACUGAACCAAGUGAGCCUUCUCCUACUCAUUCUUAAACAAACAGAUGCAAGAUGUAUUUAAAGUUGAGUGUGAUGAUUGCUUCCAAGUCUUUUCUUCUGAUGUCCCAGGUACCAUUUAGUAAAGACGAAUGUUGAGAUGCUCCAGUUAUGGUCAGUUUAACUGCUAACUUCAUAAAACCUGGAAUCACCUGGGAAGUGAAAGUGUCUAGAUCAGGCUGGCCUUUGGGCAUGUCUCUGGGUGUUUGUCUUGAUCAUUAAUAAAGGAAGACCCAUCUUGAGUGUGAGAGCCACCAUUUCAUGCACUGGGUCCCAGAAUACAUAAGACUAUAUAAGAGUGAAGAAAUCUAACUGAGAAGAAGCACAGAUCCAUGUGUUUAUUCUCUCUGUGCUUUUGUAGAUGUGAUAUGAUUAGCUGCUUGAGUUCCUGCCUUGAUUUCUCCUAAAAAAUCUUCUGGAUUGUGACAAGAAGUAGAAGCCAAAUAAAUCCUUUCUUACCAUAA
Mus musculus (house mouse) is the source of this 2952-nucleotide long non-coding RNA. RefSeq annotates it as predicted gene, 34584. NCBI's taxonomy places the organism in Eukaryota, Metazoa, Chordata, Mammalia, Rodentia, Muridae. The record is from RefSeq and is marked validated. The transcript is spliced from 4 exons.